RNAcentral lists this ribosomal RNA (481 nucleotides) under uncultured bacterium. RNAcentral's name for it is "bacterial SSU rRNA". It matches the Rfam family "Bacterial small subunit ribosomal RNA", at positions 501 to 985 of the family's 1533-position model. The record is from RNAcentral.
CUACGUGCCAGCAGCCGCGGUAAUACGUAGGUGGCAAGCGUUGUCCGGAUUUAUUGGGCGUAAAGCGAGCGCAGGCGGUCAAUUAAGUCUGAUGUGAAAGCCCCCGGCUCAACCGGGGAGGGUCAUUGGAAACUGGUUGACUUGAGUGCAGAAGAGGAGAGUGGAAUUCCAUGUGUAGCGGUGAAAUGCGUAGAUAUAUGGAGGAACACCAGUGGCGAAGGCGACUCUCUGGUCUGUAACUGACGCUGAGGCUCGAAAGCGUGGGUAGCAAACAGGAUUAGAUACCCUGGUAGUCCGCACAGUAAACGAUGGAUGCCCGCUGUUGGUACCUAGUAUCAGCGGCUAAGCGAAAGCAUUAAGCAUCCCACCUGGGGAGUACGCCGGCAACGGUGAAACUCAAAGGAAUUGACGGGGGCCCGCACAAGCGGAGGAACAUGUGGUUUAAUUCGAUGAUACGCGAGGAACCUUACCCGGGCUUGAA